RNAcentral lists this ribosomal RNA (308 nucleotides) under uncultured bacterium. RNAcentral's name for it is "partial 16S ribosomal RNA". It matches the Rfam family "Bacterial small subunit ribosomal RNA", at positions 505 to 807 of the family's 1533-position model. The record is from RNAcentral.
GAGACAGCAGUCGCCUCGGUAAUACGGAGGAUCCAAGCGUUAUCCGGAAUCAUUGGGUUUAAAGGGUCCGUAGGCGGUUUAGUAAGUCAGUGGUGAAAGCCCAUCGCUCAACGGUGGAACGGCCAUUGAUACUGCUGAACUUGAAUUAUUAGGAAGUAACUAGAAUAUGUAGUGUAGCGGUGAAAUGCGUUGAGAUCGGAAAGAACACCAACGGCGAAAGCACUCUGCUGGGCCGACACUGACACUGAGAGACGAAGGCUAGGGGAGCAAAUGGGAUUAGAUACCCGAGUAGUCCCUGUCUCUUAUAC